Molecule: RNA transcript, 6893 nt
Organism: Vigna radiata var. radiata (mung bean)
Lineage: Eukaryota; Viridiplantae; Streptophyta; Magnoliopsida; Fabales; Fabaceae
Gene name: ENHANCER OF AG-4 protein 2
Exons: 16
Source: RefSeq, a predicted model, not a curated record
UUGUGGGCAGUGGCAAAACCAAAAAAGAAAAAGAUCAGAAAAUUCCCAUUAGGUCCCAUACUCAUUGUGCCGAAAGCCAUUCUUGCAAAAACAACAACAAAAUCUACUAUUCUCUCUCUUCUUCUCCUUCCUUCUCCCUGCGACCGCCUCAAAUCGCAAUCCCUGCAACUCCUUCACUCUCAGAUUCUCCUCCUUCCCUUCCUCUCACGAUUGUUUGUGCUCCGCCGCCGCUGAAACCUGCGCAAGAUCCCCGCGGUGCUUCCGCGGGAUAUCGCUAGGGUUUUCUGAUCGUUCGUUCCUUUCCUUCUUCCAGGACGUCUUUUUUAAAUUGCGCUCACUCUGUGUAGCGUCCACGAGCCGUCAUGGCUCCCGGGCGUCGACGCGGAGCGAACAAAGCGAAGGCAAAUGGCCACUUGAGUUUGGGCGAUCUUGUGCUUGCUAAGGUCAAGGGCUUCCCUGCGUGGCCUGCUAAGAUAAGCAGGCCUGAGGAUUGGGAGAAAAUCCCUGAUCCAAAGAAAUAUUUUGUUCAAUUCUUUGGUACAAAAGAAAUUGCUUUUGUUGCCCCAGCAGAUAUUCAGGCAUUUACCAGUGAGGCUAAAAAUAAGCUGUCAGCUCGUCUUCAAGGCAAGACUAAGUACUUUGCCCAAGCUGUGAAGGAAAUAUGUGCAGCAUUUGAUGAGAUGCAGAAACAGAAGGCUAGUGGUUUGACAGAUGACACUGACGAUUCUCGUAUUGGUUCAGAGGCUCCUUCUAAUGAUGGGAUAGUAGUUAACCUUAAGGAUGCAAUUGACACUGUGUUAUCAAAUGCAGAACAAGAUAACAUUGAUAUGGAGAAUAUUGAUUCUAAUCUAGAGCACUGUACACCUAGAUUAGGGCAAAAUGACAGCCAAGAUGAAAAACAUUCUGUAUCUGACCAUCCAAACGAAAGUUCUUCUGUUUCAUCACCAGUGAUCAAAAGUAAAUUAUCCAUGGGUUCGGAGCCAAAGAAGAAUGGUAACAAAUCAAGUCUUAAAGUUGCAAGUAAUGUUAACGAUUUUGGGCAAGAUGAUAACAGACAUGGUGGUUUAGCAAAUGGGACCAAGCCAAGAAAGCUUGCCAAUGGUUUGCGAAAGAGAAGUGAAGCUGCAGGUGAUAGAGAUAGAAAUGGUGGAUCAUCUACUGGAAUUUUUAAGGCGGAAAAUUGUACUGGUCGUGGUGACCUUUCUAGGUCCAGAGAAACAAUGAAAGCUGGGAAGAAAAGAAAAAAUGCAUUUGAUGUUAAAUUGGAUUCUCCAGAUACUCUUAAAUCAGACAACAAUCAUAAUACUGGGGAAAAAGAUAGCAGUAUGAUAAAAGUCAAAACAAGUCUUGAGGUAAAAAAUGAGUUGCCUGAGUUCUCGGUUGAUUCCAAGGAUGCUGAUGGUAAAAGUUCUAGUUUGCGGAAGAAGAUGCAACUUCAUGCAACCUAUACUUUAGGGGCAAAUGAAUCUUUACAUGCUACCAAGAAGUUGAAGCGCAUGGAUACCAAAGAUGAUUCAACUUUGGGAUAUCCUUCAAAAGUUCUGAAAAGAGCUUCACCUGGUUCUACAGUUAUUGAAGAGAGACUAUUUAAAAGGUCAGAAUUGAAGAAGUCUACACCAAAUUUGAAAACAGAAAAAAGCUUGUUAUCAAGGGGUAAAAUUGGUGGUGCAGUUUCUGAUGAUUCUGUCCAUGAGCUGCUAGCAGCGACUAGACAUCAUAUUCAGGUUCAAAAAGUUACGCCUGAUUCUUCAGUCAUUGCAUCUGAGGAAAAGAAAGAAAGGAAUUAUCUCAGACUGAAAGGUGAUACAAGUAAUGUUAUGAUAAAACAAGUAGAGAGGAAACGUAGAGCUGUUUGUCUUUUUGAUGAUGAUGAUGACGAACCUAAAACUCCUGUUCAUGGAGGAGCUGGAAAAAAUGUUAAAUCAUCUUCUGUUUCUGAUGCCAAGAAGAGCAACAAUGCACACUCAGAGAAGUUGGAUGUUGUUCCGCUCACUCAAGGAAGUUCUAGUGAGCGUGAGGAUACCCAUUUGAAAGAGCCAUCAUCUCAAUUAUAUAACGACAGUUUGUCAAUCAAGCAACCUCUAAAAGAGAAAGAUAGAGAGAAAGAUGACAAAGUUAUUCCUGUGCAUAUUCCUCAUAGUCCUGAAAAUUUAGAUUUGAAGCAGCUUCCCUCCAAUAUAGCAAAAUUGAGCUCUACCUCCCCACUAAAAUCACCUCAAUCGGUACCUGCAAGCAAGUCGAGUGCUGAGCGGAUUAAAGCUUCAAAGCUGUCACUUAAAGUUUCCAAUAAUGCAACUACUCAAAAGAGGGUUGAUCAUGGGCUUUCAAAGUAUUCACAUAACCUGAGCUCUUCUCAGAAUCAAGUUGCUACACAUAAAAAGAAGCCUGCAUUGUCGGCAGAAAUAUCUAAAACUACACCUGAGACAUUGCCUCAGGCAGUUGAAGUUCCUGUUUCAACAAUUGGUUUUAAGGAUACUGAUGCUCUACAUGUUGAUAGAUUGGAGGUAAGCACAGAAGGGAAAGGUACUAUGAAGCAUCUUAUUGCUGCUGCCCUGGCGAAAAGGAAACAGGCUCAUUCACAGUUUCUUCCCUCUGGCUUUCCUAGUGUUCAGGGGGGAACUCCUAGCCCGACUACAGUUCAGCCAUUUCUGUCUGUCUCGAGCAAUUUUCAGCAUGCAGACAUGCAAGGAGUUUAUGAGCACACAUCAUUGGCCUCUCCACCAGCUAAAGAACAUCCUUCUGCUUCUCAUAAUCAACUUGAUGCUGAUGAAGUUGAGGAUAGAAGAGUUGAUUCAGGGCAAAGGGGUCUAGGUGGCUCACUGAGUGGUGGUACUGAGGCUGCUGUUGCUCGGGAUGCAUUUGAAGGAAUGAUUGAAACAUUGUCAAGGACCAAGGAAAGUAUUGGUCGUGCAACCCGACUUGCCAUUGACUGUGCCAAGUAUGGCAUUGCCAAUGAGGUUGUUGAACUUCUCAUACGAAAGCUGGAAAAUGAAACUAGUUUUCACCGCAAAGUGGAUUUGUUUUUUCUUGUUGAUUCUAUCACCCAGUGCUCACAUAAUCAAAAAGAGGAAAUUUUAGGCAUUGCAGGAGCAUCCUACAUUCCCACUGUUCAGGCAGCAUUACCACGUCUUCUUGGUGCUGCUGCUCCCCCUGGAGCCAGUGCCCGCGAAAAUCGUCGUCAGUGUCUCAAGGUUUUGAGGCUGUGGCUUGAGAGGAAAAUAUUUCCUGAAUCAGUUCUUCGUGGUUAUGUGGAUGAUAUUGGAAUUUCAAAUGAUGAUAUUACAGUUAGCUUUUCUCUUAGACGUCCAUCUCGGGCAGAACGAGCUGUGGAUGACCCUAUUAGAGAAAUGGAAGGCAUGCUUGUUGAUGAGUAUGGAAGUAAUGCAACAUUUCAGCUGCCUGGCUUUUUAUCCUCACAUGCAUUUGAAGAAGAUGAAGACGAAUAUGAAGAUGAUAUACCAAUCAAAUUGUGUAAGGAGACAUUUGAUGCAUCUCCAGCAGAUCCCACCCAUACCCUUGGAGAAUCAGAAACCUCUAAUGUUACCCCAAAUGACAAGCGCCAUUGUAUCUUAAAGGAUGUGGAUCGUGAGCUGGAAAUGGAAGAUGUUUCAGGUCAUCCCAAGGAGGAAAGGCCAACAUUUUUUAACAGUUCUGAUGAAAUUGAUUUGCAACUUCAGGUGUCAGAUAGCAAUUUGGAUCUGACUCCAAGCAUUUCAAAAGAAAUGUCAGCUACUCCUGAGGGUUCUCCUCCUUUGCCACUUGAUUCACCUCCUCCACCCCCACCUUUGCCUUCAUCACCACCACCCCCUCCUCCUCCAUUAUCACCAUCUCCUCCCCCACCCCCACCACCCCCAAUGUUGCAACCCCCACCUCCUCCUUUACCACCAUCAGCCCCUCCAGUGUCCUUGGUUCCUCAAUCGUCAGGACCAGCUCGGCCACUUCUGUCCCAACCAUUAAUGCCAUCUCAGUCAUCACAUCAGUCAUCCCCACAGUUGGGGUAUCAGCAGAGUGUACCUCAUGACUUUAGUGGCACUAAUAAUGGUAACCAAAUAGUUCCAAUGGCUGGGAAUUCAUUUCCUGGAGGUCACAAUAAUGCAGCUGUCAAGAAUGAAAUAUUUCCACAGCCUCCUGCUUAUGCUCCAACAGCAGGUUGCAGCUCCCAGGAAUCUUCUGGUUUUAACCCUUCAAGGCAAUUAGAGUACGGACAGAAUGAUAUGUAUCUAAAUGCUCAAGUUCCUCAACCUAACCAUCAAUUUCAGCAGGGCAAUCCCCCAUAUGCACAAAGGCACACACAUCCUGCCCCACCCCAAAAUCCACCAAAUCCGUACCCAUAUUCAAAUCCUACAGUUCAGCAACAUCUUCCACAUUCAUUCCAUCCUCCCUUCCCUUUACCGUCUCUUCCUGAUGGCAGGAGACAAUUUGUUGCUGAUGAGCAAUGGCGAAUGCCAUCGAGUGAAUAUAAAACAAACAAUCAACAUAGUGUAUGGAGAGGGAGAAAUCCAUCAUGUCCUGGUCCACCCUAUGGGCAAGAAGGUCAUUUUCAGCCACCAUUUGAAAGGACACCAGUAACCACUGUAGGUUUUCAGCGGCCAAUUUCAAGCAACCUACCUGUUGCUCCAAUCUCAGGACAUGUUGUACCUCAGAUGAUGCCCUGUAGGCCGGACAUUCCUUCUGUUAAUUGUUGGAGACCCACUUGAAAUUGAAUGGAGUCUUAUUAGUUUUAGUGGUGUUGCUGGUGGAUCAACAUGAAAGGUUAAAUUGUGCCACAAAGUUAGAUUCGCCUGUGUAGUACAUACAACUUACCCAUGAAGAAAUUUUGAAAACUCGAGGAGGCUUUUGACAGGAUUGUGUAUAUUGUAAUUUUUCCUGACAAUGUAUCCCAGGAACAUUUGCUUCCAAGUUUAGCCCAUGUUUUUCACUUGCUUCCUAAGUGGGGAGGCUACCCCAUUUCGAAGAUACCAGAGCCUUCCACAAGUUUCAUUUAGAUCUUUCACUGAAGCUGAAAGAUUAGUUUGCCUACUACUAACUGCCAUUGUCAGUUUGAAUAAAAAAUGCUUCAGGCUCUGGCAUAAACGGUCAUCUUUGUAUGCAAUAUUUUCAACAAUAGUUUUUGAUCAAAGAGAAUUCUGGAUAUCUCAGCGAUUUCAGGUUUUGUUAAUGCCAAAGAGGAUGGUGAUCAUUUUUUCAUGUUUUGAAUGUGAUAACUGAACAAAGAUUACAGUGAAACUUCUCAUAAAGACUGCUGAUUAUUGAGUGUCUACAGAAAGUUGCAAGUCCAAGGGGACGGUCUCAAAUUUGCCGUUCAGAAAAGGGUGUUUUGGACUCUUAACAUUCAUGAGAGGGUGUUUAGGCAUGUUUCAUAGCCGCAAUAUUUUAAAAGACUCAAGCAACCCAAAUUUGAGGGCAAAACCUGUAUUUGGGAGCUAGGAAACCAUUACAAGAAGAGUUGUGGACCUUCAUCAAAAAAGAUUUACGGUAAAAAUAUCUACAUUUAAGCUAUGGUAAGGUGCAAUUUUUUUAUUCAAUUUUACUCACACUGCUAAUGAUUUGUCAUAUCUAUUUAACUUCCUAUUUACCAAACAUUGUUUAAUUCGCGUGUACUAAUUUUAAUUUUUAGUCUUAACGCUGACACACUAGAAACUGAUGAACAUGAAGAAUUUUUAUAUUUAAUCGUUAUUGUUUGGUAAUUCUAAUGUUUUAGCAGAGCUAACGAAAAAAGUUAGAAGCAUCAAAUAAAAAUCCAAAAAGUAACCCUUGCGGAUUUGUUCAUUUAUUUAUAUCCUGCUUCGGAACGAAUUCAUAAGAUUAUUGCAACUAUGUAAUCUUCUGGUCGUAGAACAAGCAAAACAAAUCGGGUGGAAAAUUUCUUGAACUUAUCUGCUUACCCAUUUCUAAGAUAACAUUAUUCGUGCCAUGCUAGAGCAUUUUAAAGGAAGUUUCUUAUUAAUAAAGCAUUAUUUUACUGUGAAUCUUACAUACACGAUAUCUUUAGAAUUGAAGAAACUUGUUUAUAAUUUUUUUUUUCAGUUUUAAGAAGCUCGUAUUUGUGGAACCUAGAUUAAAAUAACGUUUUCAUUGAUAAGAAACUUCCAUUGCAGAUGUUCUAACAGAUUAGUAAAUGUAAUAUUAAUAUAUUUCUCUAACAUUUUUUUACCUCAACCCAUUGGUGUGAAAGCCAAAGGUCUGGGAACAUUAGAAAGGGCAACAGAACUGGUUUGAUCACUAACUACAUAUACUAAUCAAAUGCAGUUGUAAUCCUUUUGCUAGCCAUCAAAGAUAAGUUUUGCAAUGCUGCAGCUGAAAAUGGUAUGUUAAACUGGUUUUAAACUGCACUUUGAGGUUGGCUCACCGAUGAUUUUGCUUAAUUUGCUUCCAUUAUACUAAAUAGCACUUUGCUUAAACCAUCUGUUUGGAAUAAGAUGUCAACGCUAAUCGGCUAGAAGAUUUCUGCCUCUGAGCUAGGCCAUUAGCCGAUCUGGUAUAAAAUCCACCAUUGCUACUACUAUCCUGCUUCAUGAGCAACUCUGGAAUACGCUGAAGGUUAACUUCAGAUUUAUGAUUCCUCCGGAUAAGUGUAGCAUUCCUUUUAUCAAGGUUACUUUUCCUGUCUGCUACACCUGCCAUAAUAUCAGACCUCUCAUAACUAUCAGUGGCCAAACUAAGAGCAUUUCGGUGGUGACCAAGAGUUUUGCCGGACAUUGCUCCGUACUGACCUGGCAAAGAGCGCCGGACUGAGGAGAGCUUAUGCUCGGAGGACUUCCUUCUCAGUGGCUGGAAAGAUUCAAACAGUUCAUAGCUUGUAUUAUCAGCUGGACUAUUCUCUGUCUCAUCUUGUCUGCAGGAAUAACAAUGUUUAUGCCCAUCAGUGAAUUAAAUGUUCAUUAGAAGUAAUA